Long non-coding RNA from Nothoprocta perdicaria, 672 nucleotides. RefSeq lists it as uncharacterized. The record is from RefSeq and is a predicted model, not a curated record. Lineage: Eukaryota; Metazoa; Chordata; Aves; Tinamiformes; Tinamidae. The transcript has 2 exons.
UCCUCCUCACGCCUCCUCCACGCAAUAACUUGUUGAACAGCUAAUAAACUGCCAAGCCUUGCUAUGCUGCUUGUCUUCCAGGCACUGCAUCCUGAGUCCCACCAUGUAGUUUGUCACUGAAGCUUGGCUSCAGUAUCUAGUGGCUGAGCAAAAUGGUCUGAGAUUCCUCCUCUCCAGGACAGCAUCUCAUGUAACAGCGGCAGUGGACGUGGCUCUGAAGCGCUGCUCGAGGACACCGCCCUGGGAUGGCCCUGUCACACAUUUCAAGGAUCAGGAGCACCACCAUGCACGUGAUUUUGCAGAUAUUUGAGCUGCCUUCUCAAACGCAUUAASUUGUUUAGAAGCUUGAAAGACUGAGACUGUAUCAAAGGCUCCGUCCCAUUUCCGUGUCCCUAAAAUGAGGACUAUUAAAUUUUCUACCUCAGAAGUGUGUCCUAAGGAUUAAUUAAAGCCUCAUUCUGACGUACAUUAAGAUUCCUUUGGAUGUUGGCAACAAAACGGAGCGCUUAAGUGGCUAGGAAUUACCUCUAUAGCAAAUGUACACCCACUUUCAGACUGCUUUCUAAACCCACAGUGAAAUGGAGGUAUUUUAUCGUCAGAUAAAUCAGAUCCAAGUAUCACUGACGCAUUCGGAUGCUUUGUGGGAGCUGUCUGUGCCUUUCAGAACUAGAU